UUAAUUACAAAAGUAUCCUCACAUGAAAUAACCUUUUAAUCCACUACAUAAUAAAAUAACAUUUUUAACCUUCAUUAACCAACGAUUAAGAUCUUUUUUGUUUUUUAUAAAAUGAAGUACCGAAUCAUUUCUCCCUAUAUAUAACAUAUAAUAUGGCUAAAAACUGUUAACCCGGCUAUAGCAUGUUGGGCGGUGAAUAACCCUAAGAGAUUAAGAAAGUUAAUCGUUCUAGAAUUGUAGUUCUAGGAUAGGUGACCUCCUUGGAAAGUGGGGUGGUUCCCCUGCUAACGAUUGUUGUGGCUGGAGAGUGACUCGCACAAGGUUGCUAAGGCUACUGAGACGAGUCUCACAUUGUCUGAUGGUUGUAAGUCUCUAAAUCAUGUUAUAACAUGUUGAGUGGUGAUUAGGCCUAAACGGUUAAUAAGAUUAAGCAAGUUACAACUGGAGUAGUUUUAAGAUGGGUAGCCCCUGAGGAGUUGGGCGGGUCGAUUAAGGCUAGUUAGAUGAGUCUCAGAUUAUCAGAUAGUUGUGAAUUUCUAAACCCGGCUAUAAUAUUUUGGGCGGUAGUUAGACUCAAGAGGUUAAAAGAAUUAAGCGUGCUAAGAAUAGAAUUGUCCAAAAAUGGGUGACCCCUUGGAAAGUGGGGCGUCACAGAAUAUUUUUAUUGUAAAUUUAUAUUUUAAACUAAAAGUACCAAAAUUUUUUAAUUUAUAUUUAAUUCAAAAUGUCACACUCAAUUUUAAAUUAAAUUUAAACUAAUAUUUUAAAUUGAAAUUGUUAUUUGUAGUAUGUGUCUAUUUAUUAUUUGAUUUCUUUUUCAAACUUUAAUUUAUCUCCAAAUAAAUUUUACAUAUUUUAAAUUUAGUUAUACAAUAAAUUGUCACGCCCCGGAUU
Molecule: long non-coding RNA, 894 nt
Filed under: Ananas comosus (pineapple)
Lineage: Eukaryota; Viridiplantae; Streptophyta; Magnoliopsida; Poales; Bromeliaceae
Description: long non-coding RNA (ACOM_LNC013857)
Source: RNAcentral